CAAGGAAUUUUCGGCAAUGGGCGCAAGCCUGACCGAGCAACGCCGCGUGGGCGAGGAAGUCUUUCGGGAUGUAAAGCCCUUUUCUCACUGAAGAAUGAGAGACGGUAGGUGAGGAAUAAGCAUCGGCUAACUACGUGCCAGCAGCCGCGGUAAUACGUAGGAUGCAAGCGUUGUCCGGAAUUACUGGGCGUAAAGGGCGAGUAGGCGGAAUAGUAAGUCAGAUGUGAAAUAGCCCGGCUUAACCGGGAGGGGUCAUUUGAAACUGCUAAACUAGAGUGCAGUAGAGGCUAGCGGAAUUCCCGGUGUAGUGGUGAAAUGCGUAGAUAUCGGGAGGAACACCAGUGGCGAAGGCGGCUAGCUGGGCUGUAACUGACGCUGAGGCGCGAAGGCUAGGGGAGCGAACAGG
RNAcentral lists this ribosomal RNA (406 nucleotides) under uncultured bacterium. RNAcentral describes it as "bacterial SSU rRNA". It matches the Rfam family "Bacterial small subunit ribosomal RNA", at positions 355 to 776 of the family's 1533-position model. The record is from RNAcentral.